This 299-nucleotide ribosomal RNA is filed under the name Salmonella enterica subsp. enterica serovar Montevideo. Its description in RNAcentral is "partial 16S ribosomal RNA". It matches the Rfam family "Bacterial small subunit ribosomal RNA", at positions 819 to 1117 of the family's 1533-position model. Lineage: Bacteria; Pseudomonadati; Pseudomonadota; Gammaproteobacteria; Enterobacterales; Enterobacteriaceae. The record is from RNAcentral.
GGAGGUUGUGCCCUUGAGGCGUGGCUUCCGGAGCUAACGCGUUAAGUAGACCGCCUGGGGAGUACGGCCGCAAGGUUAAAACUCAAAUGAAUUGACGGGGGCCCGCACAAGCGGUGGAGCAUGUGGUUUAAUUCGAUGCAACGCGAAGAACCUUACCUGGUCUUGACAUCCACGGAACUUUCCAGAGAUGGAUUGGUGCCUUCGGGAACCGUGAGACAGGUGCUGCAUGGCUGUCGUCAGCUCGUGUUGUGAAAUGUUGGGUUAAGUCCCGCAACGAGCGCAACCCUUAUCCUUUGUUG